CAGGAAAGUAACUUCAAAAUAUUCAGUAUAAAUAUUAAUUAACUUAGUUAUUUCCCUUUUUGGAAUAUAGGAUUUUGCUAUUUUUUACUUAAAAAUGAGCUUUUACUUAUUAGAGAAAUCAAAUUAAAAAUGGGGUCACUGUUCAUUUAAGCUCACAAUCUGCCUUUGUAGAUGGGGCAUAUAAGUUUAGGUUACCUAUGAGUUUAAAAUGAUUUUCCUUUCAAUACAAAAAAAAAUGCAUUUUUGCAUCAAAAUGAGAUGAUUUGGAGCUUUUUCAAUAAUCUAAACAUUUUAAAAGUCAUCUGGCCAUAAACGAAUCAAUAUUCUGUUAAUUUUAGUACCCCUGAGCCUCCUUCAGAGACUUAUUUUUGUUGUUGCAAAAACUAAGAUAAAUACUAUACAAUGUUAGGUUAUCAUUACAAAAUACAUGUGCUUAAAUGCAGUAAAGAAUACCAAUAUAUAAAUAUUGAGUUUAUUAUGGGUGAAAAUACACAACUAAUGUGAAACAGCAAACAUGUACUUUAGAGUGUGGUGUAGAUUAAAAAAUAUGCGUAAUUUAUAACUAAAUUGGCAAAAGAGUGUGUGUAGGUAAUUGAUAUAUUUACUUAUAGACUGAAAAUGUUUUAUUGAAAAUGAAAAAAAAACAACAUCAAUUAUGUUUUAUUUAAUUGAUUUUGUAUCUGUCUGGUGAAAACACAUUCAUAUUCUUAUUCACUCACUGAUGAAAAUACAAUUUGGUUUAUGUAGGUUAAAACCUACAAUGACUUUUUAAUGAAAAUGAGAUGCAUAUAUUGUAAUGCAAAUUGUAUUUGUAAAUAAUUCAUACACCUUUUAAAGUCUCUCUUAACUCUUUUCAUAUUUCUUUGUUAUGUUAUCUAUUUGUGUGACAUGUAUUUGUCAAAUUAAG
This 907-nucleotide long non-coding RNA is filed under the name Mytilus galloprovincialis (Mediterranean mussel). The record is from RNAcentral. Lineage: Eukaryota; Metazoa; Mollusca; Bivalvia; Mytilida; Mytilidae.